UUUUUUUUUUUUUUUUUUUUUUUUUUUUUUUGUCUUUUUGCUAUUUCUUUGGGCCACUCCCACAGCAUAUGGAGGUUCCCAGGCUAGGGGUCGAAUUGGAGCUGUAGCCCCUGGCCUACGCCAGAGCCACAGCAAUGCAGGAUCCGAGCCGCAUCUGCAACCUACACCACAGCUCAGGGCAAUGCCGGAUCGCUAACCCGCUGAGCAAGGGCAGGGACCGAACCCGCAACCUCAUGGUUCCUAGUCGGAUUCAUUAACCACUGCGCCACGACGGGAACUCCAAAAGAAAGAGCAAUCUUACUAAUUCUUGAGGUCCAGGAACUUGGUCAUGAAAUUCAUAUUCCCAGGUGACAGGAAGUUGAGGCCAUUAAAUAUAUCUGAAAUUUUUUUAUUACUCAAUUUUAUUACAUUUAUAGUUUUGUACAACGGUUAUCACAAUGCAAUUUUAGAGCAUUUCCAUCCCAAACCCCCAGCCCAUCCCCCCAAAGCCCAUCCCCCCCCACUCCCAACCUGUCUCCUUUGGAAACCGUAAGUUUUUCAAAGUCUGUGAGUCAGUAUCUGUUCUGCAAAGAAGUUCAUUUUGUCCUUUUUUUAGAUUCCUCAUGUAAGUGAUAGCAUAUGAUGUUGGUGUCUGUCUAACUUCACUUAGCAUGAUAAUUUCUAGGUUCAUCUAUGUUGCAGCAAAUGUCAUUAUUUCUUUCAUUUUAAUGGCUGAGUAAUAUUCCACUGUGUAUAUGUAUCACUACUUCUUUAUCCACUCCUCUGUCGAUGGACAUUUAGGUUGUUUCCAUGUCUUGGCUAUUGCAAACAGUGCUGGAAUGAACCUUAGAGUACAUGUAUCCUUUCGAGUUAUGAUUUUCUCUGACUAGGUGCCCAGGAGUGGGAUUGCUGGAACCAAAUGGUAAUUCAAUUUUACAUUUUCUGUGGAAUAUCCAUACAGUUUUCCACAGUGGUUGCACCAAUUUACAUUCCCACCAACAGUGUAAGAAGGUUCCCUUUUAUCCACACCCUCUCCAGCAUUUGUUUGUAGACUUUUUGAUAAUGGCCAUUCUGGCUGGUGUAAGGUGGUAACUCAGAGUGGUUUCGAUUUGCAUUUCUCUAAUAAUGAGUCAUGUUGAAUAUCUUUUCAUGUAUUUUUUUGCCACCUGCAUGUCUUUUUUGGAGAAUUAUCUGUUUAGAUUUUCUGCCCAUUUUUUUUGAUGGGAUUGUUUUUUUUGGUAUUGAGCUGAAGAAGGUGUUCAUAAAUUCUGGAGAUGAAUCCCUUAUCAGUCGUUUCAUUUGCAAAUAUUUUCUCCCAUUCUGUGGGUUGUCUUUUCCUUUCAUUUAGGGUUUCCUUGGCUGUGCAUUAUUUUUAAGUCCCAUUUGUUUAUAUUUUUAUUGUCAUUACACUAGGAGGUUGAUCUGACAAGAUGUUGCUGUGGUUUAUGUCGGAGUGUUUGGCCUAUGUUUUCCUCUAAGAGUUUUAUAGUAUCUGGUCUUAUAUUUAGUUCUUUAAUCUAUUUUGAGUUUGUUUUUGUGUGUAUGGUGUUAGGAAGUGUUCUAACAUCUUGUUUUUUAUAUAUGGCUGUCCAGUUUUCCCAGAACCAUUUAUUGAAGGGGAUAUAUUUUUUCCACUGUAUAUUCUUGCCUCCUUUGUCAUAGAUUAGUUGACUGUAGCAUUGGUUUAAUUCAAGGCUUUCUAUCCUGUUCCACUGAUUUAUAUUUCUCUCUUUGUGCCAGUACCAUAUGGUUUUGAUGACGGUAGCUUUGUAGAAUAGUCUAAGGUCAGGGGGCCUGAUUCCUACAGCUCCAUUUUUCUUUCUCAGGAUGGCUUUGGCUAUUUCUGGGUCUUUCGUGCUUCCAAAGAAUUUUUUAAAUAUUCUGUUCUGGUUCUGUGAAAAAUGUCCUUGGUAAUUUGAUAGGGAUUACAUUGAAUCUGCAGAUUGCCUUGGGCAGUAUAUUCAUUUCGGUAAUAUUGACUCUUCCAAUUCAAUAGCAUGGUGUGUCUUUCCAUCUGUCUGUGUCAUCUUUGGCUUCUUGCAUCAGCAUCUUAUAUUUUUUUAGAGUACAGGUGUUUUGUCUCUUUAGAUAGGUUUAUUCCUAAGUAUUUUAUUCUUUAUGAUUCAAUGGUAAAUGGGAUUGUUUCCCUAAUUUCUCUUUCUGAUCUUUCAUUGUUGGUAUAUAAAAUGCAGUCGAUUUCUAUUUAUUAAUUUUGUAUCCUGCGACUUUCCCAAAUUCAUGGAUGCACUCUAACAGGUUUUGGUUAAAUCCAGCGUCAAGUACAACAUGACUUCUGACUUGACACUUCACACACCUUUUACUUCUUCAGUUCUACCACACAGGAGAAAAGCAUAUAUCCACCUUUAGCUGGCAAACACCAAUUUUUACUUUAAAAAAAAAUCACCACAAAGAGAGAAUUGACUAGUAUAAAGUUCAUCACACAUAUUCAGUGGGGGGAGCUUCCUGAGAUGGGGUCUUUCCACACUUCUCCCAAAUUUAAUAAAUGCCAUGAGAGUCAAGAUAAUUAUUUUGGGAUUUAUUCUUAAUGUAAUUAAUUAAAGUCUAUGAGCUGUUAUCAGACUUGACAAUAACAUCUCAGAUUUGUUCCAGUUGCUAAAAUGCUGAUGGGAGUUCACGGCUGUGUUUGACUCCUUGGGCACACACAGAAGGGCUUAUGAGGAAUGAAUUCUGGAUGAGCCACCAGCUCUGUGGAUGUGUGCAGGAGUUGAUGGAAUGUGAUGGGGGAAGUGUGAUCUCUGCCAAUUGCUAUAACAUUGUCUUCUUCCUGCUAGUAAGAAUCUAAAUAAAUAGACGUUACAUGCUCCAAGUGAAAGGACUAUAACCUACAGACUGCAGUGCUUCUGGUCCAUCUCAGUCAAUAUAGUUUGGCUAUGUCAGGCACCAAGGACACACAAACCUUAUCUUCUCAGAUGGAGCAAUAUAGUUGGAGGAGACAGAGAGAUUCAACAUUUUCUUGGCCCUAUAGCCCUUACUGUUAAUGCCUCUGAUCCAAGAAAGCAGCAAGUGCUACACCUCCAAAGCAUGUGUUUGACACAUGGCAAAUGCUCAAUAACUACAGGUUGGUUGAAUGAAGGAGCAAAUGGAUAGAUAGAUGAGUGAAUGAAUAAAUGAAUGAUUCUGAAAUUGCAUGCUACCAAAAUACAGAUGAGGAAGCUUUUUAGUCAUUGGUAAAGGCUGAAACCCAAAAGCAUUCAUGAUGCUUGCAAUUGGCAGACCCUGUGACACCUUUCACUCCAAGGUUCAAAUACAUUGUCCCAGACCACACCCCCACUUAAGACCCCAUGUAAAAUCACCCUUUCUUUUUAUUCAUUGACUUGGGUUGGCAGGACCAUGAACCUCACUCCCUUAUGUAUUAUGAAUUCAAAUGAAGAAAAAUUAUUUUCUGUUCUGAAAAAAGAUGAGAUUCUUAAGAGUUAGGUUACAGUGAAUCUAAGAGUCAAAAUUUCUGAAAAUCUACAAAGGGAAUGAUAUUCAGUAGUUGACUUCUUAGUGCAGUACACCAGAAGUUUCCUCCAUGCUGUUUUAAAUUUCAUACUCACCUAAGUGCAGUACUAAUGAGAAAAUAUCAAAGAUGAAUUUGAAUAUAUGUAAAUAGGUUAGCCAUUCCUAAUCUACCCUUCACCUUCUGAAAAAGGUGCCCUAUCUUUCUUUAUUGGUAUCUGGAAAUGGCCAGACUCUGGUACAACUCAGAUGUACCACACCAUUUCUCAAAUGUAGUUUUGCGCAAAAAUAGAAUCAUGAUGUAGCAAUCCAGGUGAGUGACACUGACAUCAGGAUCCUCACUCUGGCCAUCAAAGCCAGGCACCCACCCAGAUGAACCAACUCUCCAACUCACCCUCUCCCAAAUGACUGAUCUAACAGUUCAAACAAAGUGCAAUGAACUAGAAUGUUCAGGGUGUUUGUGUUCCUGACGCUACCUGGUUAACUCAACCCCACUCUGCCCCACUGACUUUCUCUAACAUGGUUUAGGAACCAGCUGUUUGAAUAUAGCUUCUCUCUCAUCUUAUUUUCUUUUUUAAUACUGUAAACUAAAUUCAAAAAUAUUUUUACCUUUAAAAAGUAACAUUGACAUAGAAACAAGCUUUGCACUUUAUCUUCAAAGUAAACAUCUGUUAAUUACUCCAGUGCUGGAGCUAAAAAAAAAUUCAGAUUGUGUGAGGACUGUACCGGUUUAAUAAAACAAGACAGAAAAACAGCCAACAUGAUAGCGCCAUUAGACUGAUUGUUUCUGUAGAUACACAGAAUAUAUGAAUAAUAAUGUUUCCUUUAACUCGCUGACUUAAAGGCACAACCAAAUAGUGUAUUUCUGAUUAAUCCAGGGCCCAGUCCACAGGCACAUAUGCAGAGUUCUGAUAAAAGUGAAGAAAGAUGUGUUUCCAUGUCAACAAUUUAAAGGUUGGAACUAUUUUGAGUUGUUAAUAUAAACUUUGAUAUUAGCUCACUGACUUUGACGGUUUUGCAAAGAAUAAAUUCAAACACAAUCACAAUGACUGCUGAAAUGUAUUAAAUCUCUAGAGAAGGUAGAAAAAUGUGUAUGCCUGACAGGUUUGUCAAUCACUUUUGCUCUGAUUAUGUGACAUUAGCAUGUGAUUUUUGUUAACUAGAAAAAUGACAGCGUAGUAUUUCAUAACAGCCCCAAAAUAUUCUAUUACUCUUAUUAUGUUCCUCUUGUGUCUUUAUAUAAUGACCAAAAAAAUAAGGAAAAAGCCCAGCAACUACAUCUUGAAGCAUCAUACCAUCUCUCAACUUACUAACAUUCAAAAAUUACAUCAUCAUUAGCAUAACUACAGGCAAGAAUAAUUUUGGCAGUAGUUAAAGAGUCAUGAUUAUUCUGUCCCUGGAUGUUAUCCCAACAACCACUAUUUUCUUUGUUUGGGACUCCUUACUCAAAGACAAAUGGACACAAUCAUUUCACAUCAGGACUCAUGUAUUUUCAACAGGAAGAAC
RNAcentral lists this long non-coding RNA (4947 nucleotides) under Sus scrofa (pig). RNAcentral describes it as "lncRNA (ENSSSCG00015058871.1)". Lineage: Eukaryota; Metazoa; Chordata; Mammalia; Artiodactyla; Suidae. The record is from RNAcentral.